This 253-nucleotide ribosomal RNA is filed under the name uncultured bacterium. RNAcentral describes it as "partial 16S ribosomal RNA". It matches the Rfam family "Bacterial small subunit ribosomal RNA", at positions 524 to 776 of the family's 1533-position model. The record is from RNAcentral.
UACGUAAGUGGCGAGCGUUAUCCGGAAUUACUGGGCGUAAAGCGUGCGUAGGCGGUUUAGUGUGUGGGAUUUGAAAGCACGGGGCUCAACUCCGGAUCCGGAUCCCAAACUGCUAGACUCGAGCGUAUCAGAGGAGAGCGGAAUUCCCGGUGUAGCGGUAAUAUGCGUAGAUAUCGGGAGGAACACCAGUGGCGAAGGCGGCUCUCUGGGGUAUUGCUGACGCUGAGGCACGAAAGCCAGGGGAGCGAACGGG